Molecule: ribosomal RNA, 259 nt
Filed under: uncultured prokaryote
Description: partial 16S ribosomal RNA
Rfam family: Bacterial small subunit ribosomal RNA
Source: RNAcentral
UACGUAGGGUGCGAGCGUUGUCCGGAAUUAUUGGGCGUAAAGAGCUUGUAGGCGGUUUGUCGCGUCUGCUGUGAAAAUCCGGGGCUCAACCCCGGACUUGCAGUGGGUACGGGCAGACUAGAGUGUGGUAGUGGAGACUGGAAUUCCUGGUGUAGCGGUGAAAUGCGCAGAUAUCAGGAGGAACACCGAUGGCGAAGGCAGGUCUCUGGGCCACUACUGACGCUGAGAAGCGAAAGCAUGGGGAGCUAACAGGAUUAGA